This 1642-nucleotide long non-coding RNA is filed under the name Rhagoletis pomonella (apple maggot). RNAcentral describes it as "uncharacterized LOC118739968". The record is from RNAcentral. Lineage: Eukaryota; Metazoa; Arthropoda; Insecta; Diptera; Tephritidae.
CAUUGUAAAUAAAUUGCAAACAGCUGAUUGUAGUGCUUUCGUUGAAUAGAAACUGGUUAACAAACGCAUUGCAAGAUGGAAUAAAUAAGUGGACAAAAAUGGCACUAACGGGUGCAAGGCUAAAGAAGGUAAUCAAUGUGUCACUGGAACGACCCAUAUUUAUAUCUGGCCAAUGACUUUCACUACAGAUGUUUCACAAAUCUUGGGAGAAUGUUUGAUGUUGUAAAAAACCAUCUCAUCUUGUUAGAUUAAGCGUAGAUAGAUCGCUUCGAAGUAUACUGGACAAGUAUUAUCAGUUAAGCACACCCUCAACCCAGCGUUCUUUUGCCUAUGAUAGUCGUGUGUAUAUGAUGUUGAAAAGCGGGUCCGAGCAGGACCACUGUCAUUGAAAAGCGUUAGCGUUAAAGAUUUGAACCUAUUGUGUAUAUAGUAGAUGUCUAAACACUAAAAUCAUCCUCAUAUCAGAAUUGCGUCUAGUUAAGCUACAGAAAAGUACCAGUAAUGAUAUUUGAAUUAGGUUUAAUUGGAAUAUUAAAACCUACGUUUUAUUGAUUAAAACACUAUCAAUAAUAAAAUUCCAAGGCUGAGGACAUGAACGUUUUUUCACAUUCUGCUUGACUGUUAAGAAGAUAUUUUAUUAACGGAGCAUACAAGUAAUGGCAUACAACCAUUUAUAUAUUUUAUAGUAAGGCAGAACAACGGAGAUUAUCACUAGAUACUAUGCAUAAUUUUUUUUUGCUUAUUUCCAUUGCACAGUUUUAAUGAGCAUGACGACAAAAAAAUAAUUAAUUACCCAGUAGAUAAUUUCAGGAGUUAAAAGCCCUUCCGAAAGGCCUUUCUGAGAGUCCAGAGGCCUUCCGCUCUACAACUAUUUUUUCUUUCUUUUUUUUGUAUAGAGUGGCACAAACUGAGGGGCUUCUGUCUUCGCUACCCAUGGAAGGCCUUCCAGAAGGGCUUUUAUAGGACGUACUUCAAAAGGCCUUUUGGGGGAGUUCUUUUAAAGUUGCUUCUUUAAUUUAUAAAAAUCAUAGAUCUUUAAAGUAUUUCCGUAAGGUUUAUAUCAAAUAUAUGUUAUUACAACUUAGAUGUUUAUUGAAAUUCAUGUUUAUGCUAAAUAAUAUAAAUUUAUGCAUUAACGUAAAUUGUAAAUAGACAAGCCUUUCUAGAAGGCAUUCAAGGAAGCCAUUUUUCAGCACUUCUUGGGUGGGCCUCUUAGAAUGGCUUUACUUAAGAAGGCCUACCUAAAUUAUCUUCUGGGUACCGGCAAACUGCAGUGCGAUGUUGGGGAAAACUAUGAACAAAGUUAACUAGAUUCAAUCGGCAAUACGCUGCAUUUGUAAUUUGCACAUUAACAAUCUCUGGUGUAGUGCCAAGUGAUUGUAGGUUGCAUAAAUUAAAUACCAUUAUUGGUUUUGCGGCAGUAGUUGAUAUACAUACAUACAAUUCACGCCAGUUACAACAAAAUUGAAUGCCAGUACUGGCGAUUUUAAAUUUAAUUAAACACAAUGAUGUCGAUUUUAAUAAAUUUUUUUUACGCAAGUUUUACAAAAAUUUAAUUAAUACAAAUGUUCACGAGAAUUAAAGAAAUAACAUGUUAAUAAAUACCUAUUUAUUUCUAUAAAUUUUUAUGGUACUAUUAAUA